ACACUGAUGGUGAAGUGGUUAUCAUGCUUGCCUUCCAAGCAAGCGGCAGGGGUUCGAUUCCCCUUCAGUGUA
Molecule: transfer RNA, 72 nt
Filed under: Hypsizygus marmoreus
Lineage: Eukaryota; Fungi; Basidiomycota; Agaricomycetes; Agaricales; Lyophyllaceae
Also listed under: 3 other names
Rfam family: tRNA
About the family: Transfer RNA (tRNA) molecules are approximately 80 nucleotides in length. Their secondary structure includes four short double-helical elements and three loops (D, anti-codon, and T loops). Further hydrogen bonds mediate the characteristic L-shaped molecular structure. tRNAs have two regions of fundamental functional importance: the anti-codon, which is responsible for specific mRNA codon recognition, and the 3' end, to which the tRNAs corresponding amino acid is attached (by aminoacyl-tRNA synthetases). tRNAs cope with the degeneracy of the genetic code in two manners: having more than one tRNA (with a specific anti-codon) for a particular amino acid; and 'wobble' base-pairing, i.e. permitting non-standard base-pairing at the 3rd anti-codon position.
Source: Rfam by way of RNAcentral